ACAGUUCUGUACUGAAAGUUGAAGUCCGCUAUUGGAGAUCAAAUUUUUACUAAAAGAUGAAGCACACCUUCUGUUUCAAAGGACUGCAGCUGGCUCUUGAGGGGAGCACUCAUAAAGCAUGGCCACUUAGGAUCUCAGUUGAAAGGACCUGCCAAAUUACACCUUCAAAAAGGCAUGAAGGAGCCUUAUGAACUACGUGGAGUCGCCCCCUCUGCUCCUGAUGACUCCUCAGUUAACAAGACACAAGGACUAAAGGAAAGUACUCAUCUUUUCCACAUUUUGUAAGGGAUGCUAAUGUUGGGAAGUUCAUGGGAACAUGAAUAAAAGGAUGGCAUCCUCUACUGCACGAAGACAACCAGUGGAAGUUAUGAAAGUUCUACUUCUAAAGGUAAUUGUCUCUAAGCAUUUCUCUGUUGCUCUUUUUAUUUUGCAUGAGCCAUACCCGAUAAAUUGUCCUGUGUAGGAGUGGUUCUGAUGCCUUAGAAAGGCAACCCAAAUUAUGUAUGAACAGCUAGUUCCAAUGCUCAUAGAAACACAUUAGAAAAACAUUACAUAGAAGCAAUAAUUUGAGAUCCCAAACACGUUUUUUCCCCAUUAAUGAUGUUUCAAAAUGCAGAAAGCACUUCUGUGAAGCAUGAAGGAUGGUCAGGGUUAGCUAAUGAGGCUGAUAGGUAAAAUUGCUGCAUGCUUGAUCUGCCUUGGCCCCUAACACUUAUUUGGACAUGUCUUAUUAUUGUGUGGGUGUUAAGUCUGCCCAAGCUCAUAAUCCAUAGAUAUAUGGUCAUUUACAGUGUUUAUGUCUCUGUCUUGGAUAGCUGGAACAAAGUGAUCAGAAUGUAGUUUGCUAAGUUCAUACAGAAAAUUUCUCAUGGCCAACCUGAGCAAACUAAUUGCUGUCAUUAACAUGGGAGUCAUAUGAGCUGUGAUAAUGAUACAGAUAAUGAACUCCCCACCUUUGGCCAUCACUUUAUUACCUACAGGGUCAGUAAAGAAUUUAUUCAACCCUCAGUUGCAUUUUAUAAUUGGCUAUUUGUACCUGGGAAUAUUUUGGCACCUACAGUAUCUUCAGAUAUCAUCCAUUGACUGUAAAAAAUGUAU
Long non-coding RNA from Catharus ustulatus (Swainson's thrush), 1098 nucleotides. RefSeq lists it as uncharacterized. NCBI's taxonomy places the organism in Eukaryota, Metazoa, Chordata, Aves, Passeriformes, Turdidae. The transcript has 3 exons. The record is from RefSeq and is a predicted model, not a curated record.